UGGGGAAUAUUGCGCAAUGGGGGAAACCCUGACGCAGCGACGCCGCGUGGAGGAAGAAGGCCUUCGGGUUGUAAACUCUUUUGGCAGGGGACGAAAAAAGACGGUACCCUGAGAACAAGCCACGGCUAACUACGUGCCAGCAGCCGCGGUAAUACGUAGGUGGCGAGCGUUGUCCGGAAUUACUGGGUGUAAAGGGCGUGUAGGCGGGGCGUCAAGUCAGGUGUGAAAGACCGGGGCUCAACCUCGGGUAUGCAUCUGAAACUGAUGCUCUUGAGUGUCGGAGAGGAAAGCGGAAUUCCCAGUGUAGCGGUGAAAUGCGUAGAGAUUGGGAGGAACACCAGUGGCGAAGGCGGCUUUCUGGACGACAACUGACGCUGAGGCGCGAAAGCGUGGGGAGCAAACAGG
Molecule: ribosomal RNA, 405 nt
Filed under: uncultured bacterium
Lineage: Bacteria
Description: bacterial SSU rRNA
Rfam family: Bacterial small subunit ribosomal RNA
Source: RNAcentral